This 3487-nucleotide long non-coding RNA is filed under the name Homo sapiens (human). Its description in RNAcentral is "HSALNT0190447". The record is from RNAcentral. Lineage: Eukaryota; Metazoa; Chordata; Mammalia; Primates; Hominidae.
UGAGAUGGAGUCUCGCUGUUUCACCCAGGCCAGACUGCAGUGGCGCUGUCCCUCCCGGGUUCACGCCAUUCUCCUGCCUCAGCCUCCGGAGUAGCUGGGACUACAGGCGCCCGCCACCGCGCCCGGCUAAUUUUUUAGUAGAGACAGGGUUUCACCGUGUUAGCCAGGAUGAGUCCCGAUCUCCUGACCUCGUGAUCCAUCCGCCUCGGCCUCCCAAAGUGCUGGGGUUACAGGCAUGAGCCACCGCGCCCGGCCCAUCCUAACAUUAUUCUUCAGGGCAAUAAUUAGAGGUAAUACUUUUAGUGUCCUGGCUAAAAAUUCCUUGCUGUACAAGAUUGCUGUCAACAAAUGCUAAUCACCAAUCAUGGAAGAAUUGCUUGACUAAUACGAAAGGAAGCAUGGUUUGCCCAGUGUGGGCUCCCUACACUCAAAGCAUUGGCUACACUGCAGACAGAAACUGUACAGAAGUGGAUGGCAUGCUAACAGAGAUGAGAAAUGACAACUGACAUCUAACAACAACGUAUGGAAACUAGUUUUAUGGAAACUAUUUCCCAUAAAUAAGAAUUGUAAGGUGCACAUGUUUCCAUAGCAACCUCUUCUGUUGUGUUCAAUCCUGUGAAACAGAAAUAUAAAAACAAACACAACCAUGUAUGUGUGGAGAGCCAUUCUGAUGACCUGCAGAAUAGGGAAUGUAGAGUGCAAUUUCUAGACCUUUCUCUUCCAGGUUUAUUGUUUCUCCUAUCCUAGGAAGCCUCUCAUUUAAUAAUAUGGUUUUGGCCAUUUGUGGCAUUCACAUUGGCACCACAAAUACUAAUAGUUUUAGUAACCAACUGGUAGAGUGUUACCAUUUGCUAGGCACUGGGCUAAACCCUUCAUCAUCUUUGUAAACUCUCACCAUAAACCUAUGGGACAAAUAAUUUUAUUAACCUCAUUUUACAGACAAGGACACUGAGGUAGAGAGUUGUUAAAUGACUUUUCCAAGAUCACUUCGCUAAGAAAAAAACAGAGGCAGGGCAAAAUCUUGAUGUCAGUUCCUUCUGACUCAAACAUUCAUGCUUUAUGUUGGUAAGUUCAGUAGUCAAGAAGUUCAUUGCUUCCUCUUAGGUAUUUUUACUAAAAUUUAGGAGUGUGGCCAUCAGAAGUGUUGCCUCUGCUGAGGUGAUAUUGUCCAAGCAGCAGGUCUGUACCUACUGAGGUUUGGAUAAAAUGAGGUGCCCUCUUUAAAAAUUAAGCCCUAGGUAUUCUUAUUUUACUUUUGCUUUAAAAUAUUCAUAGGAAAGCAAUGGUAAAGGAGGGGACUUGGGGGAGAGCAGCACUGGUCUUUUAUAUCCAUCUACUGCCUCCCACCUUUACCCCCCAGCUUGUGCCAUCAGGCAAGAGAGUGCUGAAGUUCUAGAGCCACAGAAAGAGGUAAGAGAAAGUACGAUAGAGGAUAGAGUGGCUCAAGAGGAAAAGGAAAACACAGUGUGACUGUGGGACAAAAGCAAAUCUCUGUUACCCUUGGUCUUGAGCACUCCUUAAGAGGCGUUCAGAGAGAGGAAAACCCAAGAAGGCCUAGGAUGCUGCUACUCUGGCAGGUGGGGGUGUGCAGGCCUGACUAUUAGGUAGUUGAUAUAAUUAUGAUCUCAGCUAUGCUAACUGGCCAGAGAAGCCUGGACAUCCAUGUUAGUCUUGCAAGUCCUCCUUUUAAAAGAAAACAAGAAGUGUAUUAGUCAGUUCUCAUGCUGUUAGAAAAGACUGCCCAAGACUGGGUAAUGUAUAAAGGAUAGAGGUUUAAUUGACUCACAGUUUCACAUGGCAGAGAACUUAACUUACAAUCAGUGGAAGGGGAAGCAAACACCUUCUUCUUCACAUAAUGGCCCCUUAAAACAACCAUCAGAUCUCGUGAGAGCUCACUUAUGAUAAUGAGAAAAGCAGCAUGGGGAUAACUGCCCUCAUGAUUAAAUUACCUCCCACCAGCUCCCUCCCAUGACACAUAGGGAUUAUGGGAACUACAAUUCAAGAUGAGAUUUGGGUGGGGACACAGCCAAACCAUAUCAAGCAGGGUGUGGUGGCAUGUGCCAUGUGCCUAUAGUCCCAGCUACUUAGGAGGCUGAGGUGGGAGGAUCAUUUGAGCCCAGGAGUUCAAGGCCAGCCAGCCUUGGUAACAUAGUGAGACCCUGUCUCUAAAUAAUAAUAAUACGUAAAAAAGGAAAAAUGAAAAAAAAGAAGCAGAGCAGAACUCUACCAAGCAGAUGAACUUUAUAUGAAAUGCUAGUUUAAAGGUCUUUUCUAUGACAUGAAAUAUAAAGCAAACAAAGUCUAAGUAAUAAUGCAUUAUUUUUUCUCAUCAACCUACAGCUGUUAUCAAUAACUGUUAAUUAUUAUGCCACAUUUUUGGCAGUGAUAAAGCAGGCAAAUAAAAUGGAUCAGGAUUGGGAAUGAAGCCAGACUGUUGGGCAGAACGAUUUAUGCAGGACACAGAUCAGAGAAUGCACGAGUUUACGUAGGCCAGGUGUAAAGUUAUCAAGAGUCCUAAAGGCAAGACUAAGUCAAAGAGCAAUGUACCAGAUCUACCUGGAAGAUGCAAGAAUGUUUGAGAUUUGACUAAUUGUCCUGUGGGGAAAAUUUAGAGAUGUAAGCUGAGAAGGAAAUGCAGGUUAGAUCGACUAGCCUGCAUUAGUUAGAUCAAUUAACUAACAUUAGUUAGUAGUAGAAGGGUAAUGGUGUAAGAACUAGAGUCAGUGUCUAAAGUUGCAAGCAGAGCAGAUGACACAGGAAGAAGUCAAUUCAAGCAUAAGGCUUGGGCUAGCGAUAAACAUGAGAAAAAGAGAAGGGAGCAUUGGAACUCAACAAAGAUAUAUUAAUCUACAUGAAUCCAUAAUCGACUGUUGAUUUUUGGAAAGGAAAUUUUUGCCUUCUGAAUCCAUUCGUAGUAGCCUUUCUCUUCUAUUAUGGGCAGGUAUGGGUAAGAGUCAAAGAUACCCAUGAAUAGCUUUGGUUUGUGUACUUCCUAAAAUAAUUUGUAAAACUGUGCAACUGCUCAUAAUUUUAAGUUGAUAGCUAAAGAUUUUUCCCCUAUGUUUCAAUAAUUGCAAUGGAUAUAAUUAUGCAUUGAAAAUAUGGACAUUUUAAAAUAAAAUUGUUACAUCACUCUUAAAUACAGUCAGUUAAAUCUAAACAACUAAGCUAGUUGAUAUCCACUACAAUUCGUUUUAUGAAUACAUGAAUCACUUCUGCAAUAACAGUCAGAAAUUUUAUAUUUCUCAUUAAACAGAUGUUGCCACUUAAAUUCCACCAAAGAAUUUAAUUUACUAUGUUUUGUGUUUGAAAGUCCUUUUAAAAUAUGAACAGACACUUCUCAAAAGAAGACAUACAAGCAGCCAACAAACAGAUGAAAAAAUGCUCAAUGUCACUAAUCAGAGAAAUACAAAUCAAAACCACAAUGAGAUACUAUCUCAUACCAGUCAGAAUGACUGUUAUUAAAAAGUCAAAAAACAACAGAUGU